GACGUAGGAUGCAAGCGUUGUCCGGAAUUAUUGGGCGUAAAGAGUUCGUAGGCGGUUACUUAAGUCUGAUGUUAAAGACUGGCGCUCAACGCCAGCAUGGCAUUGGAAACUGGGUAGCUAGAGUGCGGUAGAGGUCAUGGGAAUUCCUGGUGUAGCGGUGAAAUGCGUAGAUAUCAGGAGGAACACCAGUGGCGAAAGCGCGUGACUGGGCCGUAACUGACGCUGAGGAACGAAAGCCAGGGGAGCGAAAGGG
This 253-nucleotide ribosomal RNA is filed under the name uncultured prokaryote. RNAcentral describes it as "partial 16S ribosomal RNA". It matches the Rfam family "Bacterial small subunit ribosomal RNA", at positions 524 to 776 of the family's 1533-position model. The record is from RNAcentral.